This 748-nucleotide ribosomal RNA is filed under the name Escherichia coli. RNAcentral describes it as "partial 23S ribosomal RNA". It matches the Rfam family "Bacterial large subunit ribosomal RNA", at positions 911 to 1658 of the family's 2925-position model. The record is from RNAcentral. Lineage: Bacteria; Pseudomonadati; Pseudomonadota; Gammaproteobacteria; Enterobacterales; Enterobacteriaceae.
UGUUUCGGCAAGGGGGUCAUCCCGACUUACCAACCCGAUGCAAACUGCGAAUACCGGAGAAUGUUAUCACGGGAGACACACGGCGGGUGCUAACGUCCGUCGUGAAGAGGGAAACAACCCAGACCGCCAGCUAAGGUCCCAAAGUCAUGGUUAAGUGGGAAACGAUGUGGGAAGGCCCAGACAGCCAGGAUGUUGGCUUAGAAGCAGCCAUCAUUUAAAGAAAGCGUAAUAGCUCACUGGUCGAGUCGGCCUGCGCGGAAGAUGUAACGGGGCUAAACCAUGCACCGAAGCUGCGGCAGCGACGCUUAUGCGUUGUUGGGUAGGGGAGCGUUCUGUAAGCCUGUGAAGGUGUGCUGUGAGGCAUGCUGGAGGUAUCAGAAGUGCGAAUGCUGACAUAAGUAACGAUAAAGCGGGUGAAAAGCCCGCUCGCCGGAAGACCAAGGGUUCCUGUCCAACGUUAAUCGGGGCAGGGUGAGUCGACCCCUAAGGCGAGGCCGAAAGGCGUAGUCGAUGGGAAACAGGUUAAUAUUCCUGUACUUGGUGUUACUGCGAAGGGGGGACGGAGAAGGCUAUGUUGGCCGGGCGACGGUUGUCCCGGUUUAAGCGUGUAGGCUGGUUUUCCAGGCAAAUCCGGAAAAUCAAGGCUGAGGCGUGAUGACGAGGCACUACGGUGCUGAAGCAACAAAUGCCCUGCUUCCAGGAAAAGCCUCUAAGCAUCAGGUAACAUCAAAUCGUACCCCAAACCGAC